This 427-nucleotide ribosomal RNA is filed under the name uncultured Bacillus sp. RNAcentral describes it as "bacterial SSU rRNA". It matches the Rfam family "Bacterial small subunit ribosomal RNA", at positions 358 to 777 of the family's 1533-position model. The record is from RNAcentral. Lineage: Bacteria; Bacillati; Bacillota; Bacilli; Caryophanales; Bacillaceae.
GGAAUCUUCCACAAUGGACGAAAGUCUGAUGGAGCAACGCCGCGUGAGCGAUGAAGGCCUUCGGGUCGUAAAGCUCUGUUGUUAGGGAAGAACAAGUAUCGGAGUAACUGCCGGUACCUUGACGGUACCUAACCAGAAAGCCACGGCUAACUACGUGCCAGCAGCCGCGGUAAUACGUAGGUGGCAAGCGUUGUCCGGAAUUAUUGGGCGUAAAGCGCGCGCAGGCGGUCCUUUAAGUCUGAUGUGAAAGCCCACGGCUCAACCGUGGAGGGUCAUUGGAAACUGGUGGACUUGAGUGCAGAAGAGGAAAGCGGAAUUCCUCGUGUAGCGCUGAAAUGCGUAGAGAUCUGGAGGAACACCCGUGGCGAAAGCGGCUUUCUGGUCCGUAACUGACGCUGAGGCGCGAAAGCGUGGGGAGCAAACAGGA